CACAAAUCAAGGUAUUGGCGUGCCUCAAUUUGAAGACAUGGUUAAGAUGAAAACCAGCCAUGUAAUUUUAAUUGAGCCGCGUCAAUAUCUCAUCUUGCACU
Molecule: microRNA precursor, 101 nt
Filed under: Glycine max (soybean)
Lineage: Eukaryota; Viridiplantae; Streptophyta; Magnoliopsida; Fabales; Fabaceae
Also listed under: 1 other name
Source: RNAcentral